CCUACGGGAGGCAGCAGUGGGGAAUAUUGGACAAUGGGGGCAACCCUGAUCCAGCCAUGCCGCGUGUGUGAAGAAGGCCCUCGGGUUGUAAAGCACUUUCAGUGAGGAAGAACGCCUGGUGGUUAAUACCCAUCAGGAAAGACAUCACUCACAGAAGAAGCACCGGCUAACUCCGUGCCAGCAGCCGCGGUAAUACGGAGGGUGCGAGCGUUAAUCGGAAUUACUGGGCGUAAAGCGCGCGUAGGUGGCUUGAUAAGCCGGUUGUGAAAGCCCCGGGCUCAACCUGGGAACGGCAUCCGGAACUGUCAAGCUAGAGUGCCGGAGAGGAAGGUAGAAUUCCCGGUGUAGCGGUGAAAUGCGUAGAGAUCGGGAGGAAUAACAGUGGCGAAGGCGGCCUUCUGGACUGACACUGACACUGAGGUGCGAAAGCGUGGGUAGCACACAGGAUUAGAUACCCUAGUAGUC
This 465-nucleotide ribosomal RNA is filed under the name Vreelandella stevensii. Its description in RNAcentral is "partial 16S ribosomal RNA". It matches the Rfam family "Bacterial small subunit ribosomal RNA", at positions 338 to 795 of the family's 1533-position model. The record is from RNAcentral. Lineage: Bacteria; Pseudomonadati; Pseudomonadota; Gammaproteobacteria; Oceanospirillales; Halomonadaceae.